CCAAUAGCGUAUAUUAAAGUUGUUGCAGUUAAAAAGCUCGUAGUUGAAUUUCGGGGUUCUACCGUUGGUCGGGCAAUAGUCUGUACUGGCGUGUAGCAUUUCUACCUUCUGGGGAACCAUCAUGUUAUUAAUUUAGCGUGGUGGGAAACCAGGACCUUUACCUUGAAAAAAUUAGAGUGUUCAAAGCAGGCUUACGUCUGAAUACAUUAGCAUGGAAUAAUAAAAUAGGACGGUGGUCCCGUUUUGUUGGUUUCUGAAUCACCGUAAUGAUUAAUAGGGAUAGUUGGGGGCAUUAGUAUUCAAUUGUCAGAGGUGAAAUUCUUGGAUUUAUUGAAGACUAACUUCUGCGAAAGCAUUUGCCAAGGAUGUUUUCAUUAAUCAAGAACGAAAGUUAGGGGAUCGAAGACGAUCAGAUACCGUCGUAGUCUUAACCAUAAACUAUGCCGACUAGGGAUCGGACGAUGUUAAUUUUUCUUGACUCGUUCGGCGCCUUACG
Molecule: ribosomal RNA, 496 nt
Filed under: uncultured Glomeromycotina
Lineage: Eukaryota; Fungi; Glomeromycota
Description: partial small subunit ribosomal RNA
Rfam family: Eukaryotic small subunit ribosomal RNA
Source: RNAcentral